Molecule: ribosomal RNA, 493 nt
Filed under: uncultured bacterium
Lineage: Bacteria
Description: partial 16S ribosomal RNA
Rfam family: Bacterial small subunit ribosomal RNA
Source: RNAcentral
AUUGAACGCUGGUGGCAUGCCUUACACGUGCAAGUCGAACGGAAACAGGUUAAGCUGACGAGUGGCGAACGAGUGAGUAAUAUAUCGUAACGUGUCCAUCCGUGGGGGACAACGUCUCGAAAGCUACGCUAAUACCGCAUACGCCCUACGGAUGACAACGGGGGACCGCAAGACCCCGCGCGAUCGCAUCAGCCGAUAUCAGAUUAUGUUGUUGGUGAGGUAAAAGCUCACCAAGCCUGCGAUCUGUAGCUGGUCUGAGAGGACGACCAGCCACUCUGGAACUGAGACACGGUCCAGACUACUACGGAAGGCAGCAGUGGGGAAUUUUGGACAAUGGACGCAAGUCUGAUCCAGCAAUGCCGCGUGCAGGACGAAGGCCUUCGGGUUGUAAACUGCUUUUGUACGGAACGAAACGGUGAGCUCUAAUACAGUUUGCUAAUGACGGUACCGUAAGAAUAAGCACCGGCUAACUACGUGCCAGCCGCCGCCGUAA